CCUACGGUGUGCAGCAGUGGGGAAUAUUGGGCAAUGGGCGCAAGCCUGACCCAGCAACGCCGCGUGAAGGAAGAAGGCUUUCGGGUUGUAAACUUCUUUUGUCAGGGACGAAGCACGUGACGGUACCUGACGAAUAAGCCACGGCUAACUACGUGCCAGCAGCCGCGGUAAUACGUAGGUGGCAAGCGUUAUCCGGAGUUAUUGGGUGUAAAGGGCGUGUAGGCGGGAAUGCAAGUCAGAUGUGAAAACUAUGGGCUCAACCCAUAGCCUGCAUUUGAAACUGUAGUUCUUGAGUGCUGGAGAGGCAAUCGGAAUUCCGGGUGUAGCGGUGAAAUGCGUAGAUAUACGGAGGAACACCAGUGGCGAAGGCGGAUUGCUGGACAGUAACUGACGCUGAGGCGCGAAAGCGUGGGGAGCAAACAGGAUUAGAUACCCUUGUAGUC
This 443-nucleotide ribosomal RNA is filed under the name uncultured bacterium. Its description in RNAcentral is "partial 16S ribosomal RNA". It matches the Rfam family "Bacterial small subunit ribosomal RNA", at positions 338 to 795 of the family's 1533-position model. The record is from RNAcentral.